Molecule: ribosomal RNA, 253 nt
Filed under: uncultured bacterium
Lineage: Bacteria
Description: partial 16S ribosomal RNA
Rfam family: Bacterial small subunit ribosomal RNA
Source: RNAcentral
UACAGAGGGUGCGAACGUUGCUCGGAAUUACUGGGCGUAAAGGGCGCGUAGGCGGUCUGUUAAGUUCGGUGUGAAAGCCCCCGGCUCACCUGGGGAACUGCGCCGGAAACCGACAGACUCGAGUACCGGAGAGGAGGGUGGAAUUCCUGGUGUAGCGGUGAAAUGCGUAGAUAUCAGGAGGAACACCGGUGGCGAAGGCGGCCCUCUGGACGGAUACUGACGCUGAGGCGCGAAAGCGUGGGGAUCAAACAGG